Molecule: ribosomal RNA, 877 nt
Filed under: Polarella glacialis
Lineage: Eukaryota; Dinophyceae; Suessiales; Suessiaceae
Description: partial Bacterial large subunit ribosomal RNA
Rfam family: Bacterial large subunit ribosomal RNA
Source: RNAcentral
UAACUUAGGCAUAACAAUGGUGUUUAUCGGGCGACUGUAUAGCAAAUACACAAGUUUUAGUUAAAGAUGUUUAGAUUUUAGAGCUGAUAUGUCACCAGUAUUUAGCCAGCUUAGUAGGACUUCUCAUGGUUUAGACAAACGUUGGCCGUAACUAUAACGGUCGUAAGGUAGCAAAUUUCCUUGUCGUUUAAGUAACGACCUGCAUGAAGCAUGGAACGAUUGGAUAGCUGUCUUGCGUACAUGUCCUGCUGAAAUAUUAGGUGGUGUGAAGAUACGCUGUGAGAAUUAUUUUACUCAAAUCAAGGGUUAUGGGACAAAAAGACCCUGUGAAGCUUUAUAGGGAUAGAAUUCAGUACAGGUUCUAUAUUGGUAUAUCUUCAUUUCAUGGGAAAGCUGACUUUAUUUCAUUCGAUAUGAACUUAGAAUUAUGCCUAUGUUUUCCAUAUAUGCAAGACACCAUCCUGUGAGAAUUGCGAAUUAAAGAACGAUUUGUGAAUAUCAUGUUAGAUGGGCUGUUUAAUUGGGGCGAUGACCUUCUUUAAUCGAACUAAAGGUGAACAAAGCUAUUGAUGUGGGCUACCGAAAAUCAAAGGACUAAUAAGUGCAAAGAUAGAUGUGUGGCUUAAUGGUUGCUAUAUUCCUUACCAGUAUUUAAAUGCUGUCUUAGUGACCUUUAAAUUAAUUUACCAACACCAAGCUACUCUAGGGAUAACAGGCUUAAUGUGUUCGAAAUAAGCUCACAUUAUAACAUCAUUGGCACCUCGAUGUCGGCUUAUCAUCACCAAAAUCUGUAGCUGGUUUAUUGGUGGGAGUGCUCAUCCCAUAACAAGGUACGUGAGCUGGGUUCAGAACGAUGUAAAUCAGUUUGGUCUAUAAC